AGCCCCCAAGGCUGUGGGUAUGAGGCCGGGGCCCUGCACCGGAAGGGAGGGCGGAAGCCACGGGACGUGGAGCAGAUGGUGAGGAUAGUGGGGAGGUAGCAGCAGAGGAUGACCCGAGGCAAAAGUGCAAGUGAAGAAAAGUCGCCUUGCCGGGCAGAGGUACGGGACCAAGGCGCCUCCUCUGGGCUGAGGAGUUAGAGGGAAGAAAAUGGCGCCCUGUCAUGAGGGCGCGAGGUCCGAGUUGAGGGGAGAAGACUGAGGGACACAGAAGUGGCCGAAGUGAGGGCGCUGAGGUCAGCCUGAGCUGAGAGGGCCGGCAGAUCACGCCGCAGCCGAAGUGAACGAACUCGAGUGAGCUCUUCUCUUUUUCAGGAAAUUACUCCAGGAUUUGAAUCAUCACAAGAGAUUCACCAGAGGAUUUUAUACACUUGGGCUGUGGCAGCAGACUAAUUACAUCACAGCACUAGGCUAAAGAAGAAAAAUCACAUGAUCAUAUCAAUAGAUGCAGAAAAAGCAUCUGACAAAAACCAGCUCUCAUUCAUGAUCAGAACUCUCAGCAAACUAGUAAUAGAGGGGAACUUACUCAACUUGAUAAAGAACAUAUGCAAAAAUCUUUCAGCUAACAUCGUACUUAAUGGUAAGAAAUUGAAGCUUUCCCACUAAGAUCAGGAGCAAGGCAAGGACGUCUCCUUUGACCAACCCUUUUCAACAUCAUAUUUAUUGGAAGUCCUAGCUAAUGCAAUAAGACAAGAAAAAGAAGUAAAAAGUAUACAGAUUGGGAAGAAGAAAAUAGAACUGCCUUUGUUUGCAGAUGACAUGAUUAUCUAUGUAGAAAAUCUGAAAGAAUUGACCAAAAAAACCCUCCUGGAGCUAAUAAGCAAUGAUAACAAGGUGGCAAAAAUAGGUUGAUAUACAAAAGUUAAUUGCUUUCCUAUAUGCCAGCAACAAACAAAUGAGAUUUGAAAUUAAAACCAAAAUCCCAUUUACAAUAAUACCCCCAACUUAAAUACUUAGGCAUAAAACUAACAAAAAUAUGUAAGACCUUUAUAAGGGAAGUUAUAAAACUCUGAUGAACAUAUAAAAAGCUAAAUAAAGGAGAGAGAUUCCAUGUUUAUGGAUAGGAAGACUCAAUAUUACCAAGACAUCACUUCUUCCCAACUUGAUGUAUAGAUCCAAGGCAGACCAAACCAAAAUCCCAGAAAAUAAUUUCCUGGAUAUUAACAGAAUCUUUUUUUUUUUUUUUUUUUUUCCUGAAACGGAGUCUCACUGUG
This 1271-nucleotide long non-coding RNA is filed under the name Homo sapiens (human). Its description in RNAcentral is "HSALNT0354737". Lineage: Eukaryota; Metazoa; Chordata; Mammalia; Primates; Hominidae. The record is from RNAcentral.